UGCCGGGCACUCUGGAAGGACUGCCAUCGACAAGAUGGAGGAAGGUGGGGAUGACGUCAAGUCAUCAUGGCCCUUAUGUCCAGGGCGACACACGUGCUACAAUGGCCGGCACAACGGGAAGCGAGUUCGCGAGGACGAGCGGAUCCCUCAAAGCCGGUCGCAGUUCGGAUUGAAGUCUGCAACUCGACUUCAUGAAGCUGGAAUCGCUAGUAAUCGUGGAUCAGCCAAGCCGCGGUGGAAUACGUUCCCGGGCCUU
This 256-nucleotide ribosomal RNA is filed under the name uncultured Synergistaceae bacterium. RNAcentral describes it as "partial 16S ribosomal RNA". It matches the Rfam family "Bacterial small subunit ribosomal RNA", at positions 1129 to 1382 of the family's 1533-position model. Lineage: Bacteria; Thermotogati; Synergistota; Synergistia; Synergistales; Synergistaceae. The record is from RNAcentral.